This 3053-nucleotide ribosomal RNA is filed under the name Kallipyga gabonensis. Its description in RNAcentral is "Bacterial large subunit ribosomal RNA". It matches the Rfam family "Bacterial large subunit ribosomal RNA". Lineage: Bacteria; Bacillati; Bacillota; Tissierellia. The record is from RNAcentral.
CAAAUCGAGAAGAGCACGAGGCGAAUGCCUUGGCACAUGGCGCCGACGAAGGACGGUCAAGCACCGAUAGCCGCGGGGAGUCCAAAAGACAGUGAUCCGUGGGUUUCCGAAUGGAGCAAUCCGGCAGGUGAAGAACCUGUCAUCCUACCGCCAAUCCAUAACGGUAGGAGGGGACACCCGGCCAACUGAAACAUCUCAGUAACCGGAGGAAAAGAAAGCAAACGCGAUUUCCUUAGUAGCGGCGAGCGAAGGGGAAAGAGGCCGAUAGUGAAGAAGACGAAAGAGACCCAGGCGAAUCUUCUGGAAAGAAGAACCAAAGAAGGUAAAAGUCCUGUAACUGAAAGGUUUUGCCGUUGUCACGACAGAGUACCAUCGAACACGAGAAAUUUGGUGGGAACAUGGGAGGACCACCUCCUAAGCCUAAAUACGACCAUGUGACCGAUAGUGAACAAGUACCGUGAGGGAAAGGUGAAAAGAACCCCGGAAGGGGAGUGAAAGAGAAUCUGAAACCUUGUGCUUACAAGCAGAUAGAGGGGUCAUGCACCCUGAUAUCGUACUUUUUGUAGAACGGGCCAGCGAGUUAUAUUCGUAAGCGAGGUUAAGCCCUACAGGGGCGGAGCCGGAGGGAAACCGAGUGUGAAUAGCGCGAGAGUUUGCGGAUAUAGACCCGAAACCGGGUGAUCUAGUCAUGAGCAGGAUGAAGUAGAAGUAAAAUUCUAUGGAAGACCGAACCAGGUGCGGUUUAAAACGCAUUGGAUGACUUGUGAUUAGGGGUGAAAAGCCAAUCGAACCCGGAGAUAGCUGGUUCUCCUCGAAACCACUUUAGGGUGGGCCUCAUGAGGAAGAUAAAGGGAGGUAGAGCACUGAAUGGUCGCGGGGGAUAUAUCCUACCAACACCUAUCAAACUUCGAAUUCCGUUUAUUAUCCAUGGGAGUUAGACUAUGUGGGAUAAGCUUCAUAGUCGAAAGGGAAACAGCCCAGACCGUCAGCUAAGGUCCCUAAAUCAUGUUCAGUGGAAAAGGAGGUCAUUCUACUUAGACAACCAGGACGUUGGCUUAGAAGCAGCCAUGCAUUGAAAGAGUGCGUAAUAGCUCACUGGUCGAGUGGAGCGGCGCCGAAGAUACACGGGGCUAAACAUGAUACCGAAGCUACGGGAUUGAUCGAGACAAAAAGUAUUUUGUUCAACACGCUUACGGAUUGUGAAGACUAGAAAUAUCGAAGUCAAAUUUCUACAACGAAAACGCGUUAAAGAGAUUGAGGUAAGAAGCAAGUUAUCUUUAUUGAAUUAAUGCAAUUUCACGCAAGAGAGAUUCACAAGAAACGUGCAAGUGAACAGAAUACUUUUUGUCUUGACAAUCGGUAGAGGAGCAUUGUAUGUGCAUUGAAGCAGAAGGGAUAACCCACUGUGGAGGGCAUACAAGAGAGAAUGCUGGCAUGAGUAGCGAGAAGGCGAGUGAGAAUCUCGCCCGUCGAAAGCCGAAGGAUUCCUGAGCAAGGCUCGUCCUCUCAGGGUUAGUCGGGACCUAAGCUGAGGCCGAAGGGCGUAGGCAAUGGAUAUCCGGUGGAGAUUCCGGAACUGUUUUUACUCGUUUGAGAGAAGUGUUGACGCAGAAGGCUAAGGGAAGCAGGCGAAAGGUAGAGCCUGUCCAAGGAGGUAGGCGAGUUCGGUAGGUAAAUCCGCCGAAUGGUGCUGAGAUCUGAUGGGGACCGAAAAAUAAGUAGGGAAGUCUCUGAUGCCCGGCUGCCGAGAAAAGACGCUAUCGAGAGUAAGAGCACCCGUACCAAAACCGACACAGGUUGGCAAGAUGAGAAUUCUAAGACGCGCGGAAGAACCUUUGUUAAGGAACUCGGCAAAAUGACUCCGUAACUUCGGGAGAAGGAGUGCCAUAUAAAAAUAGAACUUCACGUUCGACGAAUCGUAUGGCUGCAGUGAAUCGGCCCAAGCGACUGUUUACCAAAAACACAAGUAUCUGCGAAGUCGUAAGACGAAGUAUAGGUGCUGACACCUGCCCGGUGCUGGAAGGUCAAGGGGAAGCGUUAGCGCAAGCGAAGCGUUGAACUUAAGCCCCAGUAAACGGCGGCCGUAACUAUAACGGUCCUAAGGUAGCGAAAUUCCUUGUCGGGUAAGUUCCGACCCGCACGAAAGGUGUAACGAUUUGGGCGCUGUCUCAACAAAGGAUCCGGUGAAAUUGUAGUACCCGUGAAGAUGCGGGUUACCCACGCUAGGACGGAAAGACCCCAUGGAGCUUUACUGUAGGCUGACAUUGGACUUUGGUUUUUAAUGUACAGAAUAGGUGGGAGACUGUGAGCUAGUGGCGCCAGCUGCUAGGGAGUCGCCUUUUGGAUACCACCCUUUAAGGACUAGAGUUCUAACCUAGGUCCGUGAUCCGGACCGGGGACACUGUCAGUUGGUCAGUUUGACUGGGGCGGUCGCCUCCCAAAGAGUAACGGAGGCGUUCAAAGGUCUGCUCAGGAUGGACGGAAACCAUUCAAUGAGUGUAAAGGCAGAAGCAGGCUUGACUGCGAGAGCAACAACUCGAGCAGGUGCGAAAGCAGGACUUAGUGAUCCGGCGGUUGCGAGUGGAAGUGCCGUCGCUUAACGGAUAAAAGCUACCCUGGGGAUAACAGGCUUAUACCCCCCAAGAGUUCACAUCGACGGGGGUGUUUGGCACCUCGAUGUCGGCUCGUCUCAUCCUGGAGCUGGAGCAGGUUCCAAGGGUUGGGCUGUUCGCCCAUUAAAGAGGUACGCGAGCUGGGUUCAGAACGUCGUGAGACAGUUCGGUCCCUAUCCAGCGUGGGCGUAGGAAAUUUGCGAGGAGCUGCCCCUAGUACGAGAGGACCGGGGUGGACAGACCGAUAGUUUACCAGUUGUUCUGCCAAGGGCACCGCUGGGUAGCUACGUCUGGACAGGAUAAGCGCUGAAGGCAUCUAAGCGCGAAGCCCCCCUCAAGAUGAGAUUUCCGAAAGAGACCAGGUAGAAAAUCUGGUUGAUAGGUCAGAGGUGGAAGUGCAGUAAUGCAUGAAGCUGACUGAUACUAAUUACUCGUGAAUUU